GUUGUUGCGGUUAAAAAGCUCGUAGUUGGAGUUCUGCCAGGUGCCACCUGUCCGCCCCAGUGGUGAGUACGUGGUGCGCAUUUGGCCCUUUCAAGGGGAGCGUAUUUGCACUUAAUUGUGUGGUGCGGGAUCCUUGACUUUUACUUUGAGGAAAUAAAAUUGUUCCAACCAGGCUCUCUUCGUGCAUAGCUCACCAUGGAAUAAUAGCAUUGGACCUCGAUUCUAAGCUGUUGGUUGCCAAAACCGAGGUAAUGAUGAAAAGGGAUAUUUGGGGGCAUUCGUAUUUAACUGUCAAAGGUGAAAUUCUUGGAUUUGUUAAAGACGGACUACUGCGAAAGCAUCUGCCAUGGAUGUUUUCAUUGAUCAAGAACGAAAGUUAGGGGAUCGAAAACGAUCAAAUACCGUCCUAUUCUUAACUAUAAACCAUGCCGGCUAAAGAUCGGAGGUUGUUCGUUUUGUGACGCCUUCAGCAUCUUGAAAGAAAUCAAAGCCUUUGGGUUCCGGGGGGAGUAUGGUCGCAAGGCUGAAACUUAAAGGAAUUGACGGAAG
This 549-nucleotide ribosomal RNA is filed under the name uncultured eukaryote. Its description in RNAcentral is "SSU rRNA". It matches the Rfam family "Eukaryotic small subunit ribosomal RNA", at positions 609 to 1162 of the family's 1831-position model. The record is from RNAcentral.